Molecule: ribosomal RNA, 290 nt
Filed under: uncultured bacterium
Lineage: Bacteria
Description: partial 16S ribosomal RNA
Rfam family: Bacterial small subunit ribosomal RNA
Source: RNAcentral
GUGCCAGCAGCCGCGGUAAUACGGAGGGUGCAAGCGUUGUCCGGAAUCACUGGGCGUAAAGGGUGCGCAGGCGGGGCAGCAAGUCGGAGGUGAAAGCCCACGGCUCAACCGUGGAAGUGCCUUCGAAACUGCUGCUCUUGAGUCCCGGAGAGGUUGCCGGAAUUCGUGGCGUAGCGGUGAGAUGCGUAGAUAUCACGAGGAACACCAGAGGCGAAAGCGGGCAACUGGACGGGUACGGACGCUCAGGCACGAAAGCGCGGGGAGCAAACAGGAUUAGAAACCUAGUAUCC